RNAcentral lists this ribosomal RNA (253 nucleotides) under uncultured bacterium. RNAcentral's name for it is "partial 16S ribosomal RNA". It matches the Rfam family "Bacterial small subunit ribosomal RNA", at positions 524 to 776 of the family's 1533-position model. The record is from RNAcentral.
UACGUAGGGUGCGAGCGUUAAUCGGAAUUACUGGGCGUAAAGCGUGCGCAGGCGGUUAUGCAAGACAGAUGUGAAAUCCCCGGGCUCAACCUGGGAACUGCAUUUGUGACUGCAUCGCUGGAGUACGGCAGAGGGGGAUGGAAUUCCGCGUGUAGCAGUGAAAUGCGUAGAUAUGCGGAGGAACACCGAUGGCGAAGGCAAUCCCCUGGGCCUGUACUGACGCUCAUGCACGAAAGCGUGGGGAGCAAACAGG